This 863-nucleotide long non-coding RNA is filed under the name Gallus gallus (chicken). RNAcentral's name for it is "lncRNA (ENSGALG00010026275.1)". The record is from RNAcentral. Lineage: Eukaryota; Metazoa; Chordata; Aves; Galliformes; Phasianidae.
GGCUGACUGCUACUGGGGAAGGGUCUCUUUUUGGAGAAUUCCUCCCCUGUGGAGUUUCCCCUGAGAAUCUUGAUCCUUGGAGAUGGCACCAGUUAGUGGCGUCUGGACACGUUUCGGUACGUACUCCAAGAAAUAUCAGCGAAUGCAACUGUGAAGUGAUGAUGAUGAUGGCAGGAGCUAUAUCAGUCCCCGCGUGGCUCAGGCAAUGUGGCUGCAGACCACAGCCUCCGUGUCUUGGGAUGGGAACGUGUGUGUGACAUGGGAAGGAAGCAUGCCGUGUCAAGUCAGCGUUCAUAGAAUCAUAGAACACCAAGGCUGGAAAAGACCUUCAAGAUCAUCCUGUCCAUCCAUUGGCAUUCCACGUGGAGAGCACUCUGUGACUCCCAGCCUUACAACAAGCACAUGGUUUUCCCUUGGCUGCAAUGAAGAGCCCCCUCCCCUUCUGCACAGUCCAUUUCUGGCUUGGAAGGGAUCACAGAGCCUGUCCUCAUAGCAUGCUGAUACACAACACUUGGCCAGCACUGCUAAAUCCCAGCCUGUGCCAUCCUCCUGCAUAGUCCUGGGGAGGACAUCAUCUUCUGGAACAUCCUCUUCCCUUUUCCUCUGACGAUUAUUGAAGCAGGAGUGAAAAACAUCAAGUGGCUUUAGGAAAAUAAAACAUCUCUAUUAUAUGUAUUACUGAAAGCAUCCUGAUUAAAAGCGAUUUUAUAGCAGGAUGCAAACUGCAGCCGGAGUCAGCAUCUGAGUUGCUUGCCCCUGCUCUCGCCAAACUACUUGUAUAUUAUUCACAGUUGUAAAUUGCUUUGAGAUUUCUGGAAGUGGAUAAAGCCCCAUUUCUCUGCAGUCCUUUUAAACAUCCCCGU